GGCCUAUAGCUCAGAUGGUUAGAGCGCACGCCUGAUAAGCGUGAGGUCGAUAGUUCAAUUCUAUCUAGGCCCACCAUCUGAGUCAUAAAUAGUUGGCAAAUUUGGCCAAUUGGAGGU
This 117-nucleotide transfer RNA is filed under the name uncultured Chromatiales bacterium. RNAcentral's name for it is "tRNA-Ile". The stretch from base 1 to 73 matches the Rfam family "tRNA". From Rfam's summary of the family: Transfer RNA (tRNA) molecules are approximately 80 nucleotides in length. Lineage: Bacteria; Pseudomonadati; Pseudomonadota; Gammaproteobacteria; Chromatiales. The record is from RNAcentral.